Phalacrocorax carbo (great cormorant) is the source of this 396-nucleotide non-coding RNA. Lineage: Eukaryota; Metazoa; Chordata; Aves; Suliformes; Phalacrocoracidae. The record is from RefSeq and is a predicted model, not a curated record.
UUCUGUGCUUAGUUUAGGUCCUGCUUUGUGCCUAAGGCUCCAGAAAGUCUCUGUGCAAACAGUUUUAGGGCAGAUGUGCCAGAGGAGAACCAAGAUCUCGGACGUGAUGUGUAACAUGAAAUGACAGUUGUGCUACUUAUUUCUCUGGAGGAAGAUUUAUAUUUAUAACAACAACUUAGUAACCUAGCGACCCAUUGCUAGGCCUCCUCUGGAAGCAUGCACAGAGCCCCCGCACCAGUGUGGUGCACAAGCACAACCCCAGACCAGGCCAGGCCCCUGGGCAGACUCAGGUAGUGCAAUGAAUGGACUUAAUGGAUUGGUAGCGUUUUUAUUCUAGUUGUGUUCUUCGAUGAAGCCAUGGGAGGUGAUGCUUCCAGUCUAUCAGAUCAUUGGACC